RNAcentral lists this ribosomal RNA (597 nucleotides) under uncultured bacterium. Its description in RNAcentral is "bacterial SSU rRNA". It matches the Rfam family "Bacterial small subunit ribosomal RNA", at positions 202 to 799 of the family's 1533-position model. The record is from RNAcentral.
UAAAGAUCCGUCGGAUGAGGAUAGGCUCGCGUGACAUUAGCUAGACGGCGGGGUAACGGCCCACCGUGGCGACGAUGUCUAGGGGUCCUGAGAGGAAGGUCCCCCACACUGGAACUGAGACACGGUCCAGACUCCUACGGGAGGCAGCAGUGAGGAAUAUUGGUCAAUGGCCGGAAGGCUGAACCAGCCAUGCCGCGUGAAGGUCAGUGCCCUAUGGGCGUUAAACUUCUUUUGUGCGGGAGCAAUAAGGGCCACGCGUGGCCUGACGAGAGUACCGUACGAAUAAGCAUCGGCUAACUCCGUGCCAGCAGCCGCGGUAAUACGGGGGAUGCAAGCGUUAUCCGGAUUUAUUGGGUUUAAAGGGUGCGUAGGCUGUGAGGUAAGUCAGCGGUGAAAUGCCCCCGCUCAACGGGGUGAAGUGCCAUUGAUACUGCCUUGCUGGAAUGCGGAUGCCGUGGGAGGAAUGUGUGGUGUAGCGGUGAAAUGCAUAGAUAUCACACAGAACACCGAUUGCGAAGGCAUCUCACGAAUCCGCGAUUGACGCUGAUGCACGAAAGCGUGGGUAUCAAACAGGAUUAGAUACCCUGGUAGUCCACG